AACCAGGCGGCAUCCUAACCAUGCAAGUCCUACGGAGAGUGGGGCGACUCACUCUCAGUGGCAAACGGGUGAGUAACACGUGAAUAACCUGCCUUUGAGAAGGGGAUAACUGUCCGAAAGGAUAGCUAAUACCCUAUAUUGCCUUUUGUCACUAAGGCAAAAGGUGAAAGCGAGGCUGUCAAAGGCUUCGGCUCAAGGAGGGGUUCGCGUCCUAUCAGGUAGUUAGUGGGGUAAUGGCCUACCAAGCCAAUGACGGGUAGCAGGUCUUAGAGGAGAAUCAGCCACAGUGGGACUGAGACACGGCCCGCACCCCUACGGGGGGCAGCAGUGGGGAAUCGUGGGCAAUGGGCGCAAGCCUGACCCCGCAAUGCCGCGUGAGGGAAGAAGCCCUUCGGGGUGUAAACCUCUGUCAGAUGGGGAAGAUGGGACUAGGGGCUAAUACCUCCUAGUCUUGACGGUACCAUCAAAGGAAGGGACGGCUAACUACGUGCCAGCAGCCGCGGUAAU
This 507-nucleotide ribosomal RNA is filed under the name uncultured bacterium. RNAcentral describes it as "bacterial SSU rRNA". It matches the Rfam family "Bacterial small subunit ribosomal RNA", at positions 38 to 524 of the family's 1533-position model. The record is from RNAcentral.